Molecule: long non-coding RNA, 314 nt
Organism: Lagopus leucura (white-tailed ptarmigan)
Lineage: Eukaryota; Metazoa; Chordata; Aves; Galliformes; Phasianidae
Exons: 3
Source: RefSeq, a predicted model, not a curated record
CUCCCAGAGUUGGGUUUCAGCAAGACAGAACCACUUCCAACCCGGGGAGCCCCCAGUUUUUCAUCCUCAUAUUCGCCAAUCGUUGCCUACAGCGUGGCCAACGCUGCUGCCUUCGUGGGCAAGAAGACUUGCGUGUGCUCAUAGCGAAACCUGCAGCUCGAGUCCUGGUGGUCACUGCUGCUGUCGAAGUGCCAUUCCCUUGUCCCACUGAGUGCGAGACGCAGCUAAGCAGCACUGCAGCAGCUAAUGCCUGAGGGAACCACGUUUCUGCUGCCCUGACUAUUGUAAACAGAUAUUUUAUACUGCCUUUAAAU